AUGGAAGUGAUAAUUGGGGUAAAUUUUGUCUAUGUCUGGAAAUUUUGGGUAUCAAGGGUUUUUAAGUACUGUAAGGUGAACAGAAAAAAGUACUUGUUUGGUUCUACUUUAAUAAUGGGAAAAAAAAGAGUAAAUGUUAGUUCACUUUCUUGUCAUAUUUUGGUUUGUCUUUUUACCAUUCUUGCAGUGAUUCAUAUUGACUGUCAUAACAACAAUAACGUAAUGCUAACAGAACGACUUUUGCUGUCACAGCUACACGCAUGGUUCAUUUCAGUGUUUUGUCAAGAAACAUUGCUUGUAACAUUCAUUAUUCAAAAUUGUAAUAGAAACAGUGGUUUUUGG
Vicia faba (fava bean) is the source of this 342-nucleotide non-coding RNA. Lineage: Eukaryota; Viridiplantae; Streptophyta; Magnoliopsida; Fabales; Fabaceae. The record is from the annotation of a GenBank genome assembly.